This is an RNA transcript of Triticum dicoccoides, 1201 nucleotides long. RefSeq lists it as uncharacterized. The record is from RefSeq and is a predicted model, not a curated record. The transcript is spliced from 8 exons. Lineage: Eukaryota; Viridiplantae; Streptophyta; Magnoliopsida; Poales; Poaceae.
CCUCUAGGGUUUACCCCGCCGCGCCGCUUGUCCGAUCCCAACUCGAGAUAGGCAGAGAGAGCUCGUCGCCGGCGUGUUCUCCGGCGAUUCCAGGCGAGCCGUCGGGCUGUCUUCUUCGUCUCCGUCACCGGUGUGUUCUCGGGAUGGAUCUUGGUUUCAUGGAUGUUGAUCCUGUGCCCCAUGCUCAUGGUAUCUUGACGGGUCAAGAUCCGUUCUACUGGCUCAGUUUGGAAUCAGCACACUCUGAUAAUGGGCAUGCAUUGGCGAUGGUUCUGCUCUGUGCGUACAGAGCUACGCAAGUUGCAACUAAAAGUGAGUUCGGUCGAUUCGUAAGUGAAAUGCCGCAUCAAGAAGAAGAUGAUCAUGUCUCUGAAGGUCCAUGUUUCAAGUGUGUUUUAAAGGAUCUAAUGCUGCAGUCUCGUCUUGUACCAAUAAGGAAGCUGAUCGGUUACUUUGUUCGGGCACUCAAUCAAUGGAACUAUCAGUCAGUUGAUGGCAGUAUUUUCACAAAGUUACAUGAUUCCUUUGAGAUAUGGGCAAACCAGAAAGGGUGGCUUGAACAGUUGUAUUGUUGUUUCACUGCUGAAACUCACUAUUAGAAUGUUUUGGGCAUUACAGCUUGCCCCAUUAUGAUCAUGUCAUUGACGCUGAAGACAAACCUAUCGAGCUUUUCAUGGAGCUGAUGACCAAUGAGGUCGGUCGUUUUUGUACAUGCUGUGGACAACGCAAAGGUUAUGACCUGAAGUCAUCACGCUGUCUUCCAGCAUGCCUCGUGUUUACUCAUACAGGUGUUCCUGUACCUGAGUUGCUGUAUGAGGAGGUGCAAUACAAGCUCACUGCAGUGAUUCCUAAAGUCCAGGAGCUCAAGGCUUAUCUUGUCCUGAAGAACGAAUGGUCGAUGAAUGAAUGGACGAAAAUUAAUUUUAAGAAGAAUAAGAUCACGGUGAAGCCGUCUGACAUCAUGAACUCCAUCAUCAGCUCAUGGUCCCGCUUGGAGUUUGUUUUCUACACAAAAUCAAAAGUUUGAGCGGUCUCUAGCCAUCCUGUGUCGUUAAGUAGAGGGAUCUUGUUGCUACCUGUAACCGAGUGAAUUGUCUCGUUUAUUAUUCUGGUUUUAAGAUAUUUGAAGCUGGACAUAUGCCAUUUGAUUGUUGCUAUAUGCACACUGCACCAAGAAUGAUUUUUGGAUGACAGAGGCGCA